This is a long non-coding RNA of Pyrgilauda ruficollis (rufous-necked snowfinch), 821 nucleotides long. RefSeq lists it as uncharacterized. NCBI's taxonomy places the organism in Eukaryota, Metazoa, Chordata, Aves, Passeriformes, Passeridae. The record is from RefSeq and is a predicted model, not a curated record. The transcript is spliced from 4 exons.
CAGAGAGCCCCCGCUCCGCCCGGGCCGCCUCCGUACCUCAUCCUCGGACUCGUUGUGCGGCACGGAGAAGCAGUUGGUGACCUCCACCGAGUGCUUGUCCACGGUCCCUGCGGGAGGGACAGGAAGGACCCAGGUGCUGAGGAAAAAGGAAGAGACUAAGAAAAAAGAUGGAAGAACUUGUAAGCAAGAUUGCUUAUGCUGGAUUCUGGAUGAACAGCAAGAUCCAGUUUUCACUGCUGCUGGAAAUUUUAAAUAGCAAGAAAAUAAAUCAGUGAAGAAGGAAACACAAAGCUACAAGAUGAAGGUUUUUCUCAGCAUUUACCGUAAAUCCAAAGAUGGUUCUCUGAGACAUACACUCUGCUUUGUGAUCAAAUGACAUCUCUGGGGAAACUUCAGUAUUCUCCUUAUGCUACAGCUUUACAUAAAGUGACCUGAAGGCUGUGACAAGGAAAUACUGCACUCUGACACCACCAGCCAGGACUUCUGAUGCUAAGAGAAAUUAAUUCCUGAGAUACCUUCUCCUGUGAAAUCUUCUGCCAAACUUCAAGUACCCCCUGGCUGUCUUCCAAACCCCCUUCAAGGCCUUUCUUUGCUGCACUGCCUACAAAUCACUGUCACCUGGCAGUCUUGAGGCUGGAGGCCAUCUGUGACCAUGGUGACUUCUGAUUUAUGUGAGCACACCCUUCUUCAUUGUUAUUCAUGCCACCUUCUUUCAUACAUUUUUCCCUUAGUCACUCAAUUUCUUGUCUUGGGAAUAUGGAGUGCAAGGACUCUGGGGUGGGAGAUGCCUAAAAUAAUGAAUAUAAGGUGCAAAAUAGAUG